Molecule: non-coding RNA, 73 nt
Organism: Plectropomus leopardus (leopard coralgrouper)
Lineage: Eukaryota; Metazoa; Chordata; Actinopteri; Perciformes; Serranidae
Source: the annotation of a RefSeq genome assembly
GGUUCUGUGGUGUGGUAGUCAUCACAUCUGCUUAACAUGCAGAAAGUCCUGGGUUCAAUCCCCAGUAGAACCA